RNAcentral lists this ribosomal RNA (332 nucleotides) under uncultured eukaryote. Its description in RNAcentral is "partial 18S ribosomal RNA". It matches the Rfam family "Eukaryotic small subunit ribosomal RNA", at positions 1470 to 1796 of the family's 1831-position model. The record is from RNAcentral.
CCCUUAGAUGUUCUGGGCUGCACACGUGCUACACUGGCAGGUUCAGCGAGCUUCAGGCCCUGAUCUGAAAGGAAUGGGAAAUCUUUUCAAAACCUGCCGUGCUUGGGAUAGAUGUUUGCAAUUAUUCAUCUUCAACGAGGAUUGCCUUGUAAGCGCACGUCAUCAGCGUGCAUUGAAUACGACCCUGUAUUCUGUACACACCGCCCGUCGCUCCUACCGAUUGAAGUUUUCGGUGAGUUGACAGGAGGAUUUUUUUGAAACUGGUUCGCCAGUGGAUUUUAGAUCCAAAUGCCAACGAAUCGAUGGCUUUAGAGGAAGGAGAAGUCGUAACA